Molecule: long non-coding RNA, 1848 nt
Filed under: Mytilus galloprovincialis (Mediterranean mussel)
Lineage: Eukaryota; Metazoa; Mollusca; Bivalvia; Mytilida; Mytilidae
Source: RNAcentral
GACUGAAGGAAGGGCACGUUCUUAUCAAUAUUAUGCGUCCUAGAUCGAAUGUUGACUGAUAUUAAAAUCGAAGAAUAAACAUGGAUCAGAUUUUUUUAUCUGCUUGUUUAUUGAAAGUGCUAUUGGUUUGUAAUAUCUGUUUUGUAGUAACUUGCUCAAAUUUGGAAAAACGAUUGCUUGUAAACGAUGGUGAUUACGUGGAAUCUCGUUUACAUCAAAUUGAUGUUCAAAUUCAAACUUUGGUUGCGCAGUCAUCGUCAAAGGAUCAGAAAAUAGCACAGCUUACGAACCGUUUAAAUGAAAAAGAUGCUCAGGUAGGAAAAAAAUCAUUUUGUUUCUUGUUUUAAAAAUAGUCAGUAACUAGCUAUAGGAUUCCAAUAUAAUCAUGAUAAUGGCAAGACAGUGAACCAUAGGGUUAAAAUAGUAAGAGCCCCACCUCACCCCCGCACCAUUCAUUAAUGCCUCGUUCACGCGGACAUUUAAUUCAAAUUAAAUUCGAAUCGAAUGCGAAUCGAAUUCGCAAAUCGCGUUCACACACUCUUCUUUUUUAAUUCGAAUUGGCUAAUUCGAAUUAUCUAUUUCGCAUUAGAAAUACGCUUUUGUGAAUACGAAUUAAAGUAAACGUCGUUUGGACAGUAAAGCGAAUUUGACUCGCAUUUUAAUUCGAAUUCGAGCCACCUUAAUGCGAAUCGAAUUCGAAUAACGUGUGAACUCAGCAUUAAUAUAAGGCUAUUCGACCAAUGCACUGGUACCAGGUUUGUUUUGAUAUCUUCCUUUGGUGAUAUAUUGGGUUUAUUAUUCACCAACGUCUGAAAGUUUCUAGAUCGUGGUACAAAGGCUUAUGACAAAAAACGCAAGAGUAACAUUUGGUUUAAAAUUACAAGAACAAAACUUAAAAACAGUCGGACUUGGCUCAUCAAAACCAAACUAAGCGGAAAUAACAUGAAAAUAAACAUUAAAAAACCAGCAUUAUAAUUUAAUACGUCAGACGCGCGUUUCGUCAACAUAAGUCAAUAUUUGUAAAAAGAAAACCAUUAAAGACCAACUUGUGGCCUUCAACAUGGAGCCAUGGCUCGCACCGAACAGCAAGCUAUAAAGGGUCCCACAAAGGACUAGUAUCGAACCAUCCACGGGAAAAACAACAGUCUAAUUUAUAUAAAAAAAACGACAAACACUUAUGAACCACAUCAACAAAUGUCAGCCACUGAACAACAGGAGUCAAUUUCACACAAAAAAAAACAAAACGUACGACUAAGACUUAUCGUGAGUAUUCUGAUUUGAUCAUGACUUAAGACCAAUUUUAGUCGUAAGUAUUAUUUGUGAAACCGACUCCAGGUUCCUGUCUUUGGACAGGGAGAAACAAAUGCAUCGGGCGGCAGACGCCAACCUUCACCCUUGCCUGAAUGUAAAAUCACAACACAGAAGUCUUGAUUAUACUAAACACAAAAAGCAUGGUGGUUUUUGAAUGCGUUUCGAAUGAAAUGUGUACAUCUUACUGACUAACUGUACAAUUGUUUUAAAAGUUGUGCACUAUAUAUAUAAACUAACAUUUUUUUUAGAAUAAGCAUUCUAUUAUUACUUUUUUAGUCAGUGAUACGAAAUUAAUUGACUUCAUUAGUAUUAGUGGUUGUUUUUGUUUACGUAUAGUUGUAAUAAUUCCGUAAUUUUGUCUCUUUUAACGAAUAACUUGGUAAAUUAGCACCGUUACUGUUAGUACAUACUCUUUAUGGCUCUUACAAAUGUAAUGCUUUUAACUAUCAUUUUUUCAGUCGAGAUUUUAAAUUGAUUCUUAAUUUUUUCACAGAUAAUGAAUUUAACCAACGAAUUGAAAAGCCUCCGUCUCUCAGG